This 455-nucleotide ribosomal RNA is filed under the name uncultured bacterium. RNAcentral's name for it is "bacterial SSU rRNA". It matches the Rfam family "Bacterial small subunit ribosomal RNA", at positions 33 to 507 of the family's 1533-position model. The record is from RNAcentral.
ACGCUGGCGGCGUGCCUAACACAUGCAAGUCGAACGAGGUCCAUCCUUCGGGAGAAGACCUAGUGGCGAACGGGUGAGUAACACGUGAAGAACCUGCCCCGAAGACCGGGAUAACCCUCCGAAAGGAGAGCUAAUACCGGAUACCCCCACCGAACCGCAUGGUUUGUGAGGAAAUGGAUUCCGCUUCGGGAGGGCUUCGCGGCCUAUCAGCUAGUUGGUGGGGUAACGGCCCACCAAGGCAUCACGGGUAGCUGGUCUGAGAGGACGAUCAGCCACACUGGGACUGAGACACGGCCCAGACUCCUACGGGAGGCAGCAGUGGGGAAUCUUGCGCAAUGGGCGAAAGCCUGACGCAGCAACGCCGCGUGGGGGAUGAAGGCUCUCGGGUUGUAAACCCCUUUCAGCAGGGACGAAUCAAGACGGUACCUGCAGAAGAAGCCCCGGCUAACUACGUG